This is an RNA transcript of Ipomoea nil (Japanese morning glory), 1628 nucleotides long. It is a transcript of the gene named phospholipase A1-Igamma2, chloroplastic-like, with no coding region annotated. Lineage: Eukaryota; Viridiplantae; Streptophyta; Magnoliopsida; Solanales; Convolvulaceae. The transcript has 3 exons. The record is from RefSeq and is a predicted model, not a curated record.
CCUCUACCCUCCAAACAAUCCUUUUUGCAGACUGUACUAACACAAAUCAAUGGCUACCAUUACCUCCCAAAUCAAAUUGUGGCUCAAGAAAGGCUGCACCCAUGGCAUCCUGCUAGCCAGGAAAGCCCUCCCAGUUCACAGAUUCCUGGAGGGAGCCACUGGGAACCUGAAGGGCAGAUUUCAGCUCGUGAGAACCCUAACCACGACGCUGCAUGGCUUUAAAAAGGCCGCAGAAGAUCAAAAGCAUGCUGAAAGAAGAUUAGCAGACUGCUGGGAAGAGAUUCAUGGCGAAAAUGAUUGGGUUGGCCUGCUGGAACCCUUUGAUUCUCUGCUAAGAACCGAGCUGAUCCGUUAUGGAGACAUGGCUCAAGCAUGCUAUGACGCCUACGAGGAAGACCCAUCUUCCAGAUUCGGCUAUAAAAUCAAGAUUGAGCCUCACAUGUUCUUCAAAAGCCUGGGAUUGACCAAAUAUGGGUACGAUGUCACCAAAUACAUCUACUCAUCCUACAACCUUGAUGUCCCAAACUUCUUCAAUAAACCUCUCUUAUCCGACGACUGGACCGAAGGAGCAAGCUGGAUCGGCUAUGUCGCGGUCUCAAACGACGAAUACUCAAGACACCUCGGCCGGAGAGACAUAACCAUUGCCUGGAGAGGCACUGUGACAGGCCUGGAGAUAUUCGCAGACAUCCAGGACUUCCAAACCUCCACAGAAGACCAUUCUCUCCCCACCCAUGACCCUUCAAUCAAGGUUGAAGAUGGAUUCUUGGAUGUAUACACCAAGAACGACGAAUCCAACACUUUCUGCAACAAAUCAGCAAGAACCCAGGUUGCAGAAGAAGUCCAGAGACUACUCCAUGAAUAUUCAGGCGAGAAACUGAGCAUUUCAGUGACAGGCCACAGCCUGGGCAGCGCUCUUGCCACCUUAAACGCUUAUGACAUAGCAGAAAAUAUGAUUCAAGACAACGGAGAAAAAAUACCCAUCAUCAGCGUGUUCUCGUUCUCCGGGCCGAGAGUUGGGAACUUCAGAUUCAAGCAGAGAAUGGAAGAACUAGGAGUGAAAGUACUGAGAGUAGCGAACAUCCACGACGCGGUGCCGAAAGUGCCUGGGGUUUUGUUGAACGAACGCCUGCCUGUGUUUAUGCAAAAGCUUGUUAAGUUUCUGCCAUGGAGUUACUUCCAUGUCGGGGAAAAGCUUAUGUUGGAUCACACUAAAUCUCCCUUCAUAAAAAAGUCAAUCGACAUUGCAGAAGUCCACAACUUGGAGCUUCUUCUGCAUUUGCUGGACGGGUACCAGGGGGAAGGAAGGCCGUUCUUGCGCGCAACUGGGAGGGAUCUUGCUCUGGUAAACAAAUCUAAAGAUUUGUUGAAUGAUUCUUUGCAGAUUCCACCGAAAUGGAGAGAUGCAUUGAGGAAGAAAGUUGAUAACUGAUUAAUUAGGAACUCCAAGCUAAGGGACACCAUUGCUGUCAUUGGUUGUUAAAUUAUUUUAUUUAUUAACAUAUAAGGUUGUAGGAUAAGUACAGUUUAAUUUAUUGUUGCAUGGCUAUUUAUACCAUUGUUUUUCUUGUCGAUAGGGUAACAUUUUUCCUCCAAAAUUUUAUAAUUAAAAGUUUGUAACAUUUGGAUAA